RNAcentral lists this ribosomal RNA (470 nucleotides) under Neotrogla aurora. Its description in RNAcentral is "SSU rRNA". It matches the Rfam family "Eukaryotic small subunit ribosomal RNA", at positions 81 to 535 of the family's 1831-position model. The record is from RNAcentral. Lineage: Eukaryota; Metazoa; Arthropoda; Insecta; Psocodea; Prionoglarididae.
GUGAAACCGCGAAAGGCUCAUUAAAUCAGUUAUGGUUCCUUAGAUGGUACGCACAGUUACUUGGAUAACUGUGGUAAUUCUAGAGCUAAUACAUGCAAAUAGAGUCCCGACCAUUCUUUGGAAGGGAUGCUUUUAUUAGAUCAAAACCAAUCGGGCUUCACGGCCUGUUGUUCUUGGUGACUCUGAAUAACUUUGGGCUGAUCGCACGGUCACGUACCGGCGACGCAUCUUUCAAAUGUCUGCCUUAUCAACUGUCGAUGGUAGGUUCUGCGCCUACCAUGGUUGUAACGGGUAACGGGGAAUCAGGGUUCGAUUCCGGAGAGGGAGCCUGAGAGACAGCUACCACAUCCAAGGAAGGCAGCAGGCGCGCAAAUUACCCACUCCCGGCACGGGGAGGUAGUGACGAAAAAUAACGAUGCAGAACUCUUUCCGAGGCUCUGCAAUCGGAAUGAGUACACUCUAAAUCAUUU